This 501-nucleotide ribosomal RNA is filed under the name uncultured bacterium. RNAcentral's name for it is "partial 16S ribosomal RNA". It matches the Rfam family "Bacterial small subunit ribosomal RNA", at positions 30 to 523 of the family's 1533-position model. The record is from RNAcentral.
AUUGAACGCCGGCGGCAUGCCUUACACAUGCAAGUCGAACGGCAGCACGGGUGCUUGCACCUGGUGGCGAGUGGCGAACGGGUGAGUAAUAUAUCGGAACGUACCUUAUUGUGGGGGAUAACGCAGCGAAAGCUGUGCUAAUACCGCAUAAUCCCUAAGGGGGAAAGCGGGGGACCGUAAGGCCUCGCGCAAUUAGAGCGGCCGAUACCUGAUUAGCUAGUUGGUGAGGUAAAGGCUCACCAAGGCAACGAUCAGUAGCUGGUCUGAGAGGACGAUGAGCCACACGGGGACUGGGACACGGCCCAGACUCCUACGGGAGGCAGCAGUGGGGAAUUUUGGACAAUGGGGGCAACCCUGAUCCAGCAAUGCCGCGUGAGUGAAGAAGGCCUUCGGGUUGUAAAGCUCUUUUGUCAGGGAAGAAACAGCAGCUCUAACACAGUUUGCGAAUGACGGUACCUGAAGAAUAAGCACCGGCUAACUACGUGCCAGCCGCCGCCGUAA